GGCUCAACUGGGCGGGGUCAGCGGAUACGGCGCGGCUGGAGCAAGCUAGGGGGCAAUGGAACUCCCGGUGUAGUGGUGGAAUGCGUAGAUAUCGGGAAGAACACCAGUGGCGAAGGCGGUUGCCUGGAGCUUUGCUGACGCUGAGGCGCGAAAGCGUGGGGAGCGAUCCGGAUUAGAUACCCGGGUAGUCCACGCCGUAAACGAUGCGGACUAGGUGUCGGGGGUAUCGACCCCCUCGGCGCCGCAGCUAACGCAUUAAGUCCGCCGCCUGGGGACUACGGCCGCAAGGCUAAAACUCAAAGGAAUUGACGGGGGCCCGCACAAGCAGCGGAGCGUGUGGUUUAAUUCGAUGCAACGCGCAGAACCUUACC
Molecule: ribosomal RNA, 371 nt
Filed under: uncultured bacterium
Lineage: Bacteria
Description: bacterial SSU rRNA
Rfam family: Bacterial small subunit ribosomal RNA
Source: RNAcentral